UUUUUGGAGGAGAUAUUUUUACAUAUAAAGUGAUAAAAAUAAAUUGUUUAUUACAUGCAAGAAGGAACAAUAUGGCUCAAGUUUUCAAAUUUAUUUAUGCUUUGAUCAUCGUCCUUUCUCUAUUUCUUGUUGAAACAAAUACCGCUACAUGCAUUACUGACGCAGAUUGUCCUUAUGAUGGAAAAUGUAUUGAUGGUUUUUGUCGGUUUAAUGUGAAGAACAAUAAUCAAGUUUAAAAAGAAUUAUUUACCUCUAAUUAAGCCUAUAAUUUAAUGAAAAGCUCUAAAGUGUAUUAGUAUGUAUAUAGGGUUUUAUGCAACUUUUAGGCAAGACAUGAGGCGGUUGCAUCCCAAUUUUAUUCCUAGGGUAUUGUCCUUGCCCCCAAAGGUGUACUCUCUUGUUAAUGUUGGAGAUGACUGAUGGUGCAGUUGGGGUGCUAAUAUUGUGAUGUCUUUCUUAUUAUACAAUGUCUUUACACUAUAAUCUUGUUUUUGAGAAGAAAAAACAAGAUAAUGGAGAUUAGUUAUUUACUCUACUUCUACAGUUAGUAUAUAUUUAAAAAUAUUCGUUGAAAGAUAAACUUAAAGACGUGUAUAGUCGGCCUUUUUUUUUGUAAUGAGAUAAACUUUAACUUCUCUUUAAGCUCUCUUUCUCAUUUACUCAUCAAGGAGGGGUGGUUUUAGGUUAUUGUUUAGCCUAAAAUCACCCAUCUGCAUCUUUUCCCUCUUACUUUAUAGAUCUAAACAAGUGAUUUCAACAUGUAUCAAGUUUUUUGUGAUUUCGUCGUCUGAGUGCGACGUUGUGUUGUUCGUCGUCUUGAACAACGUUGUUUUAUUCCGCGUCUUGUUCUGGUGGUUUAUAUUGAAAGAUCAACUUCAGUCAACCACAGAUUAAAUCAAUGAUUUGAACGUCAAAGUUGCAGAUCCGGAAGCAUGAGUAUUCUGGUGAUUUAAAUUUUAUCAUAUUAUUUAUAGACAUUUUGUUGUUGUAUGCUAUUAAUCAAGUGAUGUGAGUUUGUUUGCAGAUUCAUCAU
Long non-coding RNA from Medicago truncatula (barrel medic), 1033 nucleotides. RefSeq lists it as uncharacterized. The transcript is spliced from 3 exons. The record is from RefSeq and is a predicted model, not a curated record. Lineage: Eukaryota; Viridiplantae; Streptophyta; Magnoliopsida; Fabales; Fabaceae.